This 426-nucleotide ribosomal RNA is filed under the name uncultured bacterium. Its description in RNAcentral is "bacterial SSU rRNA". It matches the Rfam family "Bacterial small subunit ribosomal RNA", at positions 356 to 773 of the family's 1533-position model. The record is from RNAcentral.
GAGGAAUAUUGGGCAAUGGGCGAAAGCCUGACCCAGCCACGCCGCGUGAGUGAUGAAGGCCUUCGGGUCGUAAAGCUCUGUGGAGAGGGACGAAAACCCUGGUUUCAAAUAGGCUCCAGGCUUGACGGUACCUCUUUAGCAAGCACCGGCUAACUCUGUGCCAGCAGCCGCGGUAAUACAGAGGGUGCAAACGUUGCUCGGAUUUACUGGGCGUAAAGCGCGUGUAGGCGGGUUCGCAAGUCGGACGUGAAAUCCCUGGGCUCAACCCAGGAACUGCGUUCGAAACUGCGAAUCUAGAGUAGUGGAGAGGAAAGUAGAAUUCCCGGUGUAGAGGUGAAAUUCGUAGAUAUCGGGAGGAAUACCAGUGGCGAAGGCGGCUUUCUGGACACUUACUGACGCUGAGACGCGAAAGCGUGGGGAGCAAAC